Ornithorhynchus anatinus (platypus) is the source of this 657-nucleotide long non-coding RNA. RefSeq lists it as uncharacterized. The transcript is spliced from 3 exons. NCBI's taxonomy places the organism in Eukaryota, Metazoa, Chordata, Mammalia, Monotremata, Ornithorhynchidae. The record is from RefSeq and is a predicted model, not a curated record.
CUGCAGCCCUUUCACAUCCAUCAUCAUCAACAUCAUCAACUCUGCACCUUCUAUGUACAGAGCACUGUAAACAAGUGCCUGGGAACAUACAACAAAUAAGAGAUAUAGAUGGUCCUGGUGCUUCAGGAGCUUACAAUUUAAACAACUGCAGUCACCAGGGCUGCUCUGGCCCCUGAGUUUAUCUCUGUGUGCUUGAUGAUCUGUUGGAGUAAGUGUGCCUGACCACGUGAGCCAGCUUGUAUACACAGAUGGCUAUUGGAGAAUGCUAGACGAUCCCAUCAUGAGAAGGAAUAACACAAGCAGAGAUUGGAGCUCAAGCAAUCCAUAUUCCCGCAAACUUCCCUGCGACUGUCUGGGAGAAAGAAUGACAGUGGAUGGAUGAAAGCAUACUGUGACACCAGUUAAGUGACCGAAACUCAGGUUCACAAGGCCAUGAUGAAGCUGUGAGGCCAAACAAAAGAACAAUUCCAGCUUACUGUGGACCAGUGAUCCUCAGCAUAUUUACAGACUUCUCUUGGCACAGCUGUGCACACUUUCCACAUUCCUGGGUCCAUAAUAUAUCCCCCUUUUCUGUCCCUGUGUGUGGUUAUAUGCUUGAGAGGAGAUGUCCCUAAAGCAUGAAGGGGAUGCCCAAAAUACAAACCAUCAAAAGGAAAA